This 506-nucleotide ribosomal RNA is filed under the name uncultured bacterium. RNAcentral describes it as "partial 16S ribosomal RNA". It matches the Rfam family "Bacterial small subunit ribosomal RNA", at positions 30 to 523 of the family's 1533-position model. The record is from RNAcentral.
AUUGAACGCUGGCGGCAGGCCUAACACAUGCAAGUCGAACGGUAACAGGAAACAGCUUGCUGUUUCGCUGACGAGUGGCGGACGGGUGAGUAAUGUCUGGGAAACUGCCUGAUGGAGGGGGAUAACUACUGGAAACGGUAGCUAAUACCGCAUAACGUCGCAAUACCAAAGAGGGGGACCUUCGGGCCUCUUGCCAUCGGAUGUGCCCAGAUGGGAUUAGCUAGUAGGUGGGGUAACGGCUUACCUAGGAGACGAUCCCUAGCUGGUCGGGGAGGAUGACCAGCCCCACUGGUACUGGCACACUGUCCAGGCUCCUACGGGAGGCAGCAGUGGGGAAUAUUGCACAAUGGGCGCAAGCCUGAUGCAGCCAUGCCGCGUGUAUGAAGAAGGCCUUCGGGUUGUAAAGUACUUUCAGCGGGGAGGAAGGGAGUAAAGUCAAUACCUUUGCUCAUUGACGUUACCCGCAGAAGAAGCACCGGCUAACUCCGUGCCAGCAGCCGCGGUAA